UAAUAUUGCAUAGCUCAUUUCUGCAUUAUAUGGAUGGGCUACACUAGAAAUUUAACAAGUUGUGUGUUAUUUUGUGUCUCACACAGUGGAUAGUAUUAAUAAAAACUAAUGAUUAAAAAUUGAUUCCCACAUUUCUUUGCAUAGUUAAUUCUUGCAUUGUGUGGACUCUGAAUGGGUUAAACUAAAGCUCAUAUAGAUGCCUGAUCAUACAGUUUAUUCCUAAAUUUCGGUCAAGGUUGGGUCACCAAAACGGCUGUCAUUUAGUUUUUGAUGACUGAAGAUUUAAAAACCAGUUCUUAUCACUCGCAUUUCUGUUGACUCUCAGCUGAAGGAGGAAGAGAAGGAGAUCCUGAUGAAGAACGGAGAGAUCCGAGUCCUGCGCGACUCCCUGAAACAGGCCAAUCAUUCAGAAGAAGGAGCAGCAGCGGCAGACCCAGCUGGUCCUGGAGAAGGAGAAAGCUCAUGCUGGGAGCGAACAUGAGGAGCUGCUGUCCAGGAAGUGUUCACUCUCCUGAGAGUCAAGCGUUCAUGACUAAAGGAAACUUCUCAGCCGAAUUCUCCAAGAAAACAUCUCCUGUCAAAAACGGCCAUUUAUCAGAGGACGGUAAACCAGCUCGGUCCAAACGUUCCCUCGCAUGAUUGGACUGAACCCUGGGCUCCGGUCACCAACAGGAAGGGAACCGCUGAUCAGAUGUCUUCUUGUUUCUGUUAUCUCAGUGUGUUGCAGUGAGGCUGUGUGUGUUACUGAAGCUGCUUCCGAGCGCUCUGGGUCUGUGUCUCCUGCUGUCCAUCAGUCCUGACACCUACGUCAGCCUGUAAACCACAGGAGCAUCCGAAUUAAACACAUCACGCCUCUGAGUGUCCAGAAAACACGAGAAACCCACUAUAAACAUCAGUUUCCAUUACAUACAGCUGUUUAUUUUGGGAAAUCGUCAGCCCACUUUUACAACAUUCAUCAUACAAUGCUGUAAGGACGGAAAUUUCCGUUGCAUCAUUUGUUUGGGGGGUAUUUUCCAGUGGAAGGUUUGAACUAUGUCAACUUCUUAAAUGCCGAUCAAAUAUACUUUUAAGUCACAUGAGCAGAGAUUGCUAUGGUUCAUUAACAAAGCCAUACAGAACACUUUGUUUUUUAUCAAAGAAUAUAUUUUUAAAGACUUUACAUCAUGACAUUUGCAGAUUUUUAUAUAACUAUUAACAUAUUAUUGUUAUUAACAUUAUUUUAUUAUUAAGGUUGUAUUUGAAGGAUGUACUAAUUAAAUUAAAUAGGACAGAAUACUGUACUGAUAACAAUAACUAGUAUUAUUAUUGCUAGUAGUAUUCAUAGCAGUCAUUUUUACAUAAUAUUUGCUUUAUGCAUUUUUAAACAUUAAAAUAUUAUUUGUUGUAUUUCAUUUAUUAUUAAACUAAAUAUAGAACAUUGUU
RNAcentral lists this long non-coding RNA (1422 nucleotides) under Carassius auratus (goldfish). RNAcentral describes it as "lncRNA (ENSCARG00000059473.1)". Lineage: Eukaryota; Metazoa; Chordata; Actinopteri; Cypriniformes; Cyprinidae. The record is from RNAcentral.